This 428-nucleotide ribosomal RNA is filed under the name uncultured prokaryote. Its description in RNAcentral is "bacterial SSU rRNA". It matches the Rfam family "Bacterial small subunit ribosomal RNA", at positions 355 to 774 of the family's 1533-position model. The record is from RNAcentral.
UGGGGAAUAUUGGGCAAUGGGGAAAACCCUGACCCAGCAACGCCGCGUGAGUGAGGAAGGUUUUCGGACCGUAAAGCUCUGUCGAGCGGGAAGAAAUGUAUCGUGGCUAAUAUCCAUGAUAUUUGACGGUACCGCUAAAGGAAGCACCGGCUAACUCCGUGCCAGCAGCCGCGGUAAUACGGGGGGUGCAAGCGUUGUUCGGAAUUAUUGGGCGUAAAGAGCGUGUAGGCGGCUGAAUAAGUCAGAUGUGAAAUCCCUGGGCUUAACCCAGGAAGUGCAUUUGAAACUAUUCAGCUUGAGUAGGGGAGAGGAAAGUGGAAGUCCUGGUGUAGAGGUGAAAUUCGUAGAUAUCAGGAGGAACACCGGUGGCGAAGGUGACUUCCUGGCCCUAUACUGACGCUGAGACGCGAGAGCGUGGGUAGCAAACA